GUCCUUGCCGUAAACGAUGCACACUUGGUGUAAUUGGACUCAACCCCAAUUGUGCCGGAGCUAACGCGUUAAGUGUGCCGCCUGGGGAGUACGCUCGCAAGGGUGAAACUCAAAAGAAUUGACGGGGACCCGCACAAGCAGUGGAGCAUGUGGUUUAAUUCGAUGCAACGCGAAGAACCUUACCUAGGCUUGACAUGCAGAGGACGUUAGCAGAAAUGUUAACUCCCUUCGGGGCCUCUGCACAGGUGCUGCAUGGCUGUCGU
Molecule: ribosomal RNA, 263 nt
Filed under: uncultured bacterium
Lineage: Bacteria
Description: partial 16S ribosomal RNA
Rfam family: Bacterial small subunit ribosomal RNA
Source: RNAcentral